GACAGCAGCCGCCACGGUAAUACGAAGGUCCCGAGCGUUGUUCGGAAUCACUGGGCGUAAAGGGAGCGUAGGCGGCGUGGUAAGUCAGAUGUGAAAUCCCGGGGCUCAACCCCGGAACUGCAUCCGAUACUGCCAUGCUAGAGGAUUGGAGAGGUAGCUGGAAUUCUUGGUGUAGCAGUGAAAUGCGUGGAGAUCAAGAGGAACACUCGUGGCGAAAGCGAGCUACUGGACAAUAACUGACGCUGAGGCUCGAAGGCCAGGGUAGCGAAAGGGAUUAGAUACCCCCGUAGUCCCUGUCUCUUAUAC
This 306-nucleotide ribosomal RNA is filed under the name uncultured bacterium. RNAcentral's name for it is "partial 16S ribosomal RNA". It matches the Rfam family "Bacterial small subunit ribosomal RNA", at positions 507 to 807 of the family's 1533-position model. The record is from RNAcentral.